GCUGCCUGUCCGACUUUGUUUCUCUCGUGCCCCUCUGUAGUCCGUCCUGGGGAGCUGAAGAACAACUCGACAAAGUCCCAACUAUGGAAGGCGACAACAUAAUAAUGCCUGUUUGACUCGGGGAGAUUUUCCAAGAUGCCAGGCCUUUUGUCCAGCCCUGUGUGUCUGACAGUCAUCUGGGUUUUAUCUUGGUCGCUGCGUCCCAUUCGUGCUCAGAUCCAACCUGAUGAAGUGUCAGGCGUUCAGUAUGCGCUCUUGGAGUCGAAUGUGACACUGGCAUGCAGGAAGUCACAAAUCAGG
Gymnodraco acuticeps is the source of this 300-nucleotide long non-coding RNA. RefSeq lists it as uncharacterized. The transcript has 3 exons. NCBI's taxonomy places the organism in Eukaryota, Metazoa, Chordata, Actinopteri, Perciformes, Bathydraconidae. The record is from RefSeq and is a predicted model, not a curated record.